This 3590-nucleotide small RNA is filed under the name Mytilus galloprovincialis (Mediterranean mussel). The record is from RNAcentral. Lineage: Eukaryota; Metazoa; Mollusca; Bivalvia; Mytilida; Mytilidae.
AUGGGAGACGACGCACCCGUAAUAGUUAUUCCGACAAACUAUGGUCGUAUUGAAGAAUUCAAUGAUAAAGGCGAUUGGAUAGAGUAUACGGAAAGACUCGAUCACUAUUUCGAGGCCAACGAAAUAAAUAAUGCUGACAAGAAAAGAGCAAUAUUGUUGAGUGCCUGUGGUCAAAGGACAUAUAAAUUAAUCAGGACUUUAUGUGCACCUACUAAACCGAAAGAUAAAACGUUUAAGGACAUAGUGGAUUUAGUUAAAACUCAUCAGCAUCCAAAACCGUCUUCAAUUGUAGAAAGAUGCAGAUUCAAUAGCAGAGUCAGACAUCCAGACGAGUCAGUGAGUCAGUUCGUGGCUGAACUCAGGAGUCUAUCAGAACAUUGUGACUAUAAAGAUACACUUGAUCACAUGUUAAGAGACAGGCUCGUGUGUGGAAUUAAAGAUGAUAGGAUUCAGCGACGUUUAUUAGCAGAGACCGACCUAACAUUUAAGAGGGCGAUGGAUAUUUCGACGGCAAUGGAAAUGGCUGCUAAAAAUGCACAGGAUAUCCAGGCUAGUGGAAUACUUCAAAAUUCCGUGAAUAAAGUAACUAAAGGGAAGCCAAGGAGCAACUACAGUCAAAACAGGGAACAUGAACAAUCUGAUUGUUACAGAUGUGGAGGUAACCACAAAGCCGCAGAAUGUAGAUUUAGAGAUGCCAAAUGUCACAUAUGCCAAAAGAAAGGACAUAUUGCAAAAAAAUGCAGGAAUAGGGAUGAUCGUAAUCCACAAUUUCAAAGAAGUAAUGCAAAUUCUGGAUCAAGAUUUUACAAAAAGCAAGCACACUUCGUUGAGCAGGAUGCCAGUGAAAAUUCUGGAAGCGAAAGUGAAAACGAAGUAUAUUCGGUUUUUAACUUGGGAUAUAGCUGCGAUGCAUAUAAAGUUGAUAUACAAGUGAAUAAUAAAAUCAUUAUCAUGGAAAUAGAUACAGGAGCCUCCGUUUCAAUAAUGAGUGAGGAGACAUAUAAAGAAUUUGAAUCGAAAUUCAAGUUAGAGCCGACUUCAGUGAAACUUCGAACGUAUCUUGGGGAUUCCAUUCCUGUGUUAGGACGUGCAACCGUAAACGUAACAUAUGGGAAGGAAAAUAAUAAACUACCGUUAUUUGUGGUGAAACGGAAAGGUCCGAACUUAUUAGGUCGAGAUUGGAUAAGCAAGAUUCAACUCAACUGGAAGGAAAUUUUUGCAGUACACGUAUUAAAAGAUCAACCAGGUUUGGAGGAGACAUUAUCUACUUACAACGACGUUUUCAAGGAUGAAUUGGGGGCUAUAAAGGGAGUUAAAGCAAAGAUCUAUGUCGAUGAAAAUGCAACACCAAAGUAUUUCAAGGCCCGCCCAUUACCAUAUGCGUUGAAAGAAAAGGUAGAACUAGAGUUAGAAGGUUUGGAAAAGAGAGGACAAAUAAGUAGAGUCGAGUUUUCGGAAUGGGCCGCACCUAUAGUACCUAUUGUGAAAGAAAAUGGAUCUAUAAGAAUAUGCGGAGAUUAUAAAAUAACAGUAAAUAGAGUGUCAAAGUUGGAUAACUAUCCAAUACCGAAAACUGAGGAUUUAUACGCCACGUUGGCAGGAGGGGACGAAUAUACAAAACUGGAUUUAGCUCAAGCUUAUCAACAGAUUGAAUUGGAGGAGAAUUCUAAACAAUAUACCACAAUAAACACGCACAAGGGUUUGUUUCAAUAUCACCGUCUACCAUUUGGAGUUUCUUCAAGUGCUGGGAUUUUUCAACGAACAUUAGAGAACAUUAUACAGGGGAUUCCUAAUGUACUUGUCCGCGUGGAUGAUAUUUUAAUCACCGGUAAGGACAGGAACGAACAGUUGAAAACAUUACAUGAAGUGCUCAGUUGUUUCCAGAAGGCAGGUGUAAGAUUGAAUAAACAAAAGUGUACAUUUUUAGCACCGGCAGUUAUUUAUCUUGGAUUUAAAAUCAACAAACAAGGUAUUUUUCCAGUGGAAAGUAAAGUCAAGGCAAUAUCUAAAGCCCCUUGUCCAACCAACGUAACAGAACUGAAGGCCUACUUAGGUAUGUUGAAUUAUUACAACCGAUUUCUACCAAAUUUGUGCAGUGCUUAGCCACAAGACAGAACAUGGAGAUCAACCGAUAGCUUUCACAUCGAGAACUUUGACAUCUGCCUAAAAACAUUAUUCCGUGCUCGAGAAAGAAAGUUUGGCAAUAAUUUUCGGAAUUAAGAAAUUCCAUCAGUAUUUGUAUGGAAACUCAGUGACAAUAUUAACAGACCAUAAACCGAUCAUAGGGUUAUUUCGUGAGGACAGAGCCUUACCCACAAUGGCAGCGUCACGCAUUCAAAGAUGAGCGUUAACUCUUAGUGCGUAUGAGUAUACCAUGGUUUACCGAGAAGGGAGUAAAAACGGGAAUGCUGAUGGACUAAGCAGACUACCGUUAAAAACCAAGGAGUCAAAAACACCCGUUCCCGGAGACACAAUACUAUUGAUGGAACAUUUGGAUAACACACCAGUGAACGCGAAAUUAUCAAGAAAUGGACGCACAAGGACACCGUAUUGUCAGAAGUUCUAAGGUGCAUAUUUAAUGGAUGGCCUAGUAAAAGUCAGAACGAGGAGAUACAGCCGUAUUUUACUCGUAAAAGUGAGUUGAGCGCUCAGGAUGGCUGCAUAUUAUGGGGAGGAAGGGUCAUCAUUCUGAAACAAGGACGUGACUCCAUGUUAACAGAGCUUCACCAGGGACAUCCGGGUAUAACACGCAUGAAACAGUUAGCAAGGAGUUAUAUCUGGUGACCAGGACUUGACAGUGAUCUGGAAAAAACCGUUAUCAAUUGUCAAAGUUGUCAAGAAAGUAGAAAAUUGCAGGCCGAGGCACCGUUACACCUAUGGGAGUAUCCUAACCGUCCAUGGUCUAGACUUCAAUUAGAUUUUGCAGGACCGUUCAUGAACAAAAUGUUUCUAGUCAUCGUGGAUGCCUAUUCCAAAUGGAUCGACAUACAUAUCAUGAGCUCGACUACAAGCGAAGCUACAGUUGAUAAGCUAAAACAACGUUCGCUACUCAUUGCUUAUGCGACUUGAUCAUAACAGAUAACGGAACCGCUUUCACUAGCAGGGAAUUUGCAGAGUUCAUCCGAGUGAACGGUAUUAAACACAGAACAACCGCACCGUGGCAUCCUGCAAGUAAUGGAUGUGCAGAACGAGCUGUUCAAACUUUUAAAGAGGAAAUGAAGAAGAUUAAAUCAGGAAUAAUUCAAGACAAACUCAAUAGUUUCCUAUUCAACUAUCGAAGGACACCACAAACAACAACAGGAAUAGCACCGUCUGAAUUACUUAUGAAGAGACAGUUACAGUCAAGAUUAAAUCUUGUAUUUCCCAACAUUGAGGAAAAAGUGGUUGAAAAACAAUUCAAACAGAAAAAUUACCACGAUGAAACAGCAAAACACAGAACAAUCAAAGUAGGAGAACUCGUAUUCGCGAGGAAUUUCGUUGUUAACUCCAAACUGAAAUGGAUUAAAGGAACUGUGGUGAAUCAGACAGGACCGUUGUCAUUCAAAAUAGAACUUUCCGAUGAACGGAUUAUACGAUCAUAUCAGAAUUAG